RNAcentral lists this ribosomal RNA (505 nucleotides) under Cervidellus vexilliger. Its description in RNAcentral is "SSU rRNA". It matches the Rfam family "Eukaryotic small subunit ribosomal RNA", at positions 88 to 590 of the family's 1831-position model. The record is from RNAcentral. Lineage: Eukaryota; Metazoa; Nematoda; Chromadorea; Rhabditida; Cephalobidae.
CGCGAAUGGCUCAUUACAACAGCUAUAAUUUACUUGAUCUUGACACAAUCCUACUUGGAUAACUGUGGUAAUUCUAGAGCUAAUACAUGCAUUAAAGCUCUGACCUCACGGGAAGAGUGCAUUUAUUAGAACAAAACCAAGCGGCUUCGGCUGUUUCUGGUUGACUCAUAGUAACUGAGCUGAUCGCAUGGUCUUGCACCGGCGACGUGUCUUUCAAGUAUCUGCCGUAUCAACUUUCGAUGGUAGUGUAUCUGGCUACCAUGGUGAUCACGCGUAACGGAGAAUAAGGGUUCGGCUCCGGAGAGUUCGCCUGAGAAAUCGCGAACACAUCUAAGGAAGGCAGCAGGCGCGAAAAUUACCCACUCUCAGCACGAGGAGGUAGUGACGAAAAAUAACGAGACCGUUCUCUUAUGAGGCCGGUCAUCGGAAUGGGUACAAUUUAAACCCUUUAACGAGUAUCUAUGAGAGGGCAAGUCUGGUGCCAGCAGCCGCGGUAAUUCCAGCU